Molecule: long non-coding RNA, 842 nt
Organism: Mauremys reevesii (Reeves's turtle)
Lineage: Eukaryota; Metazoa; Chordata; Testudines; Geoemydidae
Exons: 3
Source: RefSeq, a predicted model, not a curated record
CUUAAAAGAAAUAACCUUUCAUUUUUCUGCCAUCAUUCAUAAAGCACACAGUAAAACAAGGUAUUUACUGUACAUUGAGUACCAUAACAUCAUGAUCAGUUUCUAUCCUAUCUGAUUUUUAGAGAAAUGAUGUUCGUCAUAUGUAUUGGAUCUAGACACAAAGCCAAAAGAACCUGACAAAAUUAAUAAUGACUCAUGAUCCUGUUUCUUGAUUGUUUUCGCUUAAUAUAGUUAAGAUAUUGCUUUGAUUUGCAGUGGAGAGGGUAGAAAGGUGCCAUGACGUGAACAGUGAAACUGGUUCACCAGCAACUACAAUGUGCCAGAUUCUGCCCUCUGCUAGCAUACCGGGCUCCCAUCAAAGCCAGUACUUUUGUUUCUCCAGACCUGGAGAAAAAUCACAAUAUAGAAUUCUUUGAAAAUAAGGAUUUUUCCUUGCUGACAAUAAUAUUUCCAUUUAUUUGAGCUAUUCUCAGGAAAAAAUACAGCAGUGUAAGCGUUAUUACUGUUGCAAUCCCCCUCUAAAGCUGGAUCCAGCAAAGCCCUAACGCAGAUCUUUAAACAGAUUAUGAUGAUCCAGUCUGACCUCCUGCACAACACAGGGCACAGAAUUUUUACUCAAUGAUUCCUGCAUGAAGCCUAUAAAUUAAGACCACAGUUUUAACUUUACAGGAAAGCCAGAAAGAGCAUCUGCCCUCUCAUGUUCUAAAGAAGACUAAUAUUGACUGUCAUAAAGAUAUCUGACCAAUAUAAAACACCAUCAAAGCAAUACAUCAGCUGCAAAAGAAAGUACCUCAGUUUUGUUCCUUGUAUUUUAAAUAAAGGUUUAUAGUCAGUUGUUAAAA